UGGGGAAUAUUGCACAAUGGGCGAAAGCCUGAUGCAGCAACGCCGCGUGAGUGAUGAAGGUCUUCGGAUUGUAAAGCUCUGUCUUUUGGGACGAUAAUGACGGUACCAAAGGAGGAAGCCACGGCUAACUACGUGCCAGCAGCCGCGGUAAUACGUAGGUGGCGAGCGUUGUCCGGAUUUACUGGGCGUAAAGGGUGCGUAGGCGGAUGUUUAAGUGAGAUGUGAAAUACCCGGGCUUAACUUGGGUGCUGCAUUUCAAACUGGAUAUCUAGAGUGCAGGAGAGGAGAAUGGAAUUCCUAGUGUAGCGGUGAAAAUGCGUAGAGAUUAGGAAGAACACC
This 339-nucleotide ribosomal RNA is filed under the name uncultured bacterium. Its description in RNAcentral is "partial 16S ribosomal RNA". It matches the Rfam family "Bacterial small subunit ribosomal RNA", at positions 355 to 710 of the family's 1533-position model. The record is from RNAcentral.